AUACGUAGGGUGCAAGCGUUAAUCGGAAUUACUGGGCGUAAAGCGUGCGCAGGCGGUUUUGUAAGACAGUGGUGAAAUCCCCGGGCUCAACCUGGGAACUGCCAUUGUGACUGCAAGGCUGGAGUGCGGCAGAGGGGGAUGGAAUUCCGCGUGUAGCAGUGAAAUGCGUAGAUAUGCGGAGGAACACCGAUGGCGAAGGCAAUCCCCUGGGCCUGCACUGACGCUCAUGCACGAAAGCGUGGGGAGCAAACAGGAUUAGAUACCCUGGUAGUCCACGCCCUAAACGAUGUCAACCGGUUGUUGGGGAUUUAUUUUCUCAGUAACGAAGCUAACGCGUGAAGUUGACCGCCUGGGGAGUACGGCCGCAAGGUUAAAACUCAAAUGAAUUGACGGGU
Molecule: ribosomal RNA, 395 nt
Filed under: uncultured bacterium
Lineage: Bacteria
Description: partial 16S ribosomal RNA
Rfam family: Bacterial small subunit ribosomal RNA
Source: RNAcentral